Molecule: long non-coding RNA, 297 nt
Filed under: Anser brachyrhynchus (Pink-footed goose)
Lineage: Eukaryota; Metazoa; Chordata; Aves; Anseriformes; Anatidae
Description: lncRNA (ENSABRG00000017718.1)
Source: RNAcentral
GGAGAAGGCACAAGUCUUUUGCAGUGGGAUUGGGACUCCUAUUCAUUAUGGCCAGCCACUUACUACCAGCCAGACUAGUGGAUUCUGCCCUUGAGAGGCAGCAGAAAUAGGCAGGAAGGACAGCAGAAUCCAGGGGACUUCAGUGGAAGAAAGCCAGCAGCUGUGCUGAUGGGGUGUUCCAGGAGCUGCACUGUGGCGGUUGUGCUGUCAUUCAUAAAAGACCCUUGGAGAGGGGAUGAGCAGUGAUGUGACAAAGUUUUCUGAUAAAGCUGUAGUUAUGCAGGAUAAUGGAGGAGG